AGUGAACGCUGGCGGUAGGCCUAACACAUGCAAGUCGAACGGCAGCACAGUAAGAGCUUGCUCUUACGGGUGGCGAGUGGCGGACGGGUGAGGAAUACAUCGGAAUCUACUUUUUCGUGGGGGAUAACGUAGGGAAACUUACGCUAAUACCGCAUACGACCUACGGGUGAAAGCAGGGGAUCUUCGGACCUUGCGCGAUUGAAUGAGCCGAUGUCGGAUUAGCUAGUUGGCGGGGUAAAGGCCCACCAAGGCGACGAUCCGUAGCUGGUCAGAGAGAAUGAUCAGCCACACUGGAACUGAGACACGGUCCAGACUCCUACGGGAGGCAGCAGUGGGGAAUAUUGGACAAUGGGCGCAAGCCUGAUCCAGCCAUACCGCGUGUGUGAAGAAGGCCUUCGGGUUGUAAAGCCCUUUUGUUGGGAAAGAAAAGCAGCAGGUUAAUACCCCGCUGUUCUGACGGUACCCAAAGAAUAAGCACCGGCUAACUUCGUG
RNAcentral lists this ribosomal RNA (492 nucleotides) under uncultured bacterium. RNAcentral's name for it is "partial 16S ribosomal RNA". It matches the Rfam family "Bacterial small subunit ribosomal RNA", at positions 29 to 507 of the family's 1533-position model. The record is from RNAcentral.